RNAcentral lists this long non-coding RNA (1989 nucleotides) under Marmota monax (woodchuck). Lineage: Eukaryota; Metazoa; Chordata; Mammalia; Rodentia; Sciuridae. The record is from RNAcentral.
CUCAAGAUAACUUUGCUUUUGGAAAUGCUGGAUAGACAAAACAAAAUUUACCCACUAUUCUCUUUUACUUUUAAGCCACUACUUAAGAUUCCUGAGUUAAGAAAUUCAGUUCAGCCUGGCAAUGGGAGACUAUGUUCUGAAUCCUAGACUAUUCCACUUCUCCAUCAUUUGCUUUGUUCCUUGUCAGUCCACCAGAGCUAAAUGGGGUCUCAUGGGAAAGGAGGCAAAAAAACAAAUUUUGAAGAAUUUCUAAUAAGAUUCAAAGAAUGCCCACCAACCUUCACCACAAUACAAUAACUCAUAUAUAAGAACAAAACUUUAUAGUCCUAAAUUUAUGCAUGGUGUUAGUGGGAAGGACCUUACCUAAUUCCUUAAGUCCCAAAUUAGAAUGUUUUCAAAGAGAAGCAAAAUGUGUUUUAAAAAUAAGGAAAGAUAAAAAAAAAAAGUUCAACAUCUCCAGCAAUUAGAGAAAUGCAAAUUAAAAUUACACCAAGAUUCCCUCUCACUCCAGUCAGAAUGGCAGUUAUAAAGAAUACAAAUAGCCAGGCACAGUAGUGCACACCUGUAAUCUCAGAGGCUCAGAAGGCUGAGGCAGGAGGAUCCCGAGUUCAAAGCCAGCCUCAGCAACAGUGAAGUGCUAAGCAACUCAGUGAGACCCUGUCUCUAAAUAAAAUACAAAAUAGGGCUGGGGAUAUGGCUCAGUGGUCAAGUGCCCCUGAGUUCAAUCCCCAGUACCAAAAUAAUAAUAAUAAUAAUAACAAUAAAUGUUGGCAAAAAUGUGGGAAGAAAUGUACUCUCAUACAUUGUUGGUGGGACAGACAAUUGGUGCAACCUCUGUGGAAAGCAGUAUGGAGAUUCCUCAGAGAACUUGGAAUGGAACUACCAUUUGACCCAGCUAUCCCACUCCUCAGUCUGUUCCCAAAGAACUUAAAAAUAGCAUACUACAGUGACACAGCCACAACCAUGUUUAUAGCAGCUCAACUCACAAUAGCCAAGCUAUGGAAACAAGGUAGGUGUUCUUCAAUGGAUGAAUGGAUAAAGAAAAUGUGGUAUAUAUACACAAUGGUAUAUUUCUCAGCCAUAAAGAAGAAUGAAAUUAUGGCAUUUGCCAGUAAAUGAAUGAAACUGGAAAAUAUCAUGCUAAAUGAAAUAAGCCAAUCUCAGAAAAACCAAAGACCAAAUGUUCUCUUUGAUUUGUGGAUGCUAACUCAAAACAAAGAAGGUUGGGGAGGGGAAUAAUAGAAGUCCAUUGGACUAGACAAAGGGAAAUGAAGGGAAAGGAGCAGAGAAGAGAAUAGAAAAGACAGUAGAAUUAAUUGCACAUAACUUUCCUAGUGUUGUACUUGUAUACACAACCAGGGUAGCUCCAUAUCAUGUACAAUCACAAGAGUGGGAACCUAAAUAGAAUACAUUAUACUUUAUGUAUAUAUACUCUGCCAAAAUACAUUCUACUGUUGUGUAUAACUAAAAAUAAAAAUAUAAAAAAUUUGGGAGAAUGCAGGACAAGUUUUGCCUUCAAAAUCAAUUUUUCUUGGGCUAGGGCUGUGGCUCAGUGGUAGAGCGCUCACCUAGCCUGUUCGAGGCCCUGGGUUUGAUCCUCAGCACCACAUAAAAAUAAAUAAAUAAAAUAAAGGUAUUGUGUCCAACUACAACUAAAAAUAAAUAUUUUUUAAAAAAUCAAUUUUUCAAUCAACUUGCCCUUGAAUCAAGAUCUUGAGAAAGUAUAUGGAAGCAUAAGAAAACAUAGAUGUAUCCAUGGUGUGUGUGUGUAUAUGCAUGUAUUUGUACAUUUGUAUGUAUAUAUGCAUAUGUGCUUUUAGAUGUAUGUUUUUAUCUAGAUAGCAGUUAGAAGAGACUUAAUUGUUUAAUUUAAUACAAUAAACACUUUUUACACAUAGAAAAAAAUAAGGAAGAAAAGCAAAAUAUCCCAUAAGAAUCAUUCCAUGUCUAUUUCAUUAUAUCAUUAAGACAAUCCUUCCAGCCCUCAGU